This 1554-nucleotide long non-coding RNA is filed under the name Sus scrofa (pig). RNAcentral describes it as "lncRNA (ENSSSCG00000051763.1)". The record is from RNAcentral. Lineage: Eukaryota; Metazoa; Chordata; Mammalia; Artiodactyla; Suidae.
CAGACUUAACAGAAUACAACAUAGUGUAAAUAUAAGUUUUAUGUAAAUUAGGAAAUUUGCUUUAAUGCAAUAUUGGCUUUAUUGUUGUGGUCUGGAUCCAAACCCACAAUAUGUCUAAAGUAUGACCAUACUAUAGAAACAGACAAUAUUAGGGCAGACAAUAUCAAACACACUCCAGAAGUGGAAAAAUCACCCAGACAUUUUCACAUGACACAGUGACAAGCAGAAACUUAAUUUUUAAUAUAGAUGUCUCAACAUUAAGCUAUCCUUAUAUUCCAAAAUAACCCUUACGUGCUCAUGUUAUAUUAUUCUUUUAAUAUUAGACUUGGUGUUUUGUAUAUUUUGGUAACUACGCUCAAAAGUAAGAUCGAUCUUGAGCUUUCUGUCUUUAUAUAAUUGGGGUAUAAAACUUUGCUAAUUUUGCUUUCCUCUUUAUGCUCUGAAACAGUUUAUCAUGAGAUUUUCAAAUCAGAUUAUAAAUUAGAAAGGAUGUAUUUAUAAAAAUCACCUGUAUUAUCAUUCUUAAAAGCUAUCUGUGUGAUGUUAGAUAUUGUUUUUUCACUUUAAUGUUUUGUACCUAUAUUUCCUCUUUAAUUAGCUAUGAAAGAGAUUUUAUUGACAUCUAUGGAAUUUCCCUUGAAUUUAGUUGUCAGUUUUAUUGUUUCCACUUUCUAAGUCAUUAGUUUCUGCUUUAGUCCCUGGAUAUUUUUCACCUAUUGUCCCAAAAUGCACAUUUUGCCCUAAUUACCUGAGUAAAAUUCCUCUCUCAUUUGUUUUAACAGUGAAUUCACUUGAGGAAAUGUAUUUACCUUUGAAUACAGCUUUGACCAUAUCCAUUAGGUUUGCCAAAGAAGGUUCUCAUUCCCCUCAUCUACCUAUCCUGUGACUGCAAAAUUUAUGUUCUCUCUAGCCCAAAGCUUUUGUUUUCUUUUCCAUUAAUUAAACAUUUUCCCUCUAACUUCUUCUUCUUUCCUACUUUUAUUAUAUUGCGUUCCAAGAAUUUGGCUUCUGUAAUAUUUAUUUUUGGGAAAUUACAUAUGUUUUCUUUCUGGUUAAUAAUCAGUUUGUCUUUCUAUACUGAGAAUUCUUGAGAAGAAGUUUUUUUCUCUAGUCUUCUCCAAAGGGGAGGCUAUGUGGAUCACAGCAGGGAGUACAGAAUUAUCCAGUAGGGUACCAGAAGAAAAUAUUAUGACCAUAUUUAAUAUUUAUUUGUAUCUUGUCUCUCUUAAUAUAUAUUUUAUGUAUAUUUCAUAUGUCAUAUUAGCAUUACUUGUGGUUGCCAAGGGGGAGGGGGAGGCUAUGGGAUGGACUGGGAAUCUGGGAUUACUAGAUGCAAACUAUUGCAUUUGUAAUGAAUAAGCAACGAGAUCCUGCUGUAUCGCACUGGGAACUAUAUCUAGUCACUUGUGAUGGAGCAUGAUGGAGGAUAAUGUGAGAAAAAGAAUGUGUGUAUACAUAUGUGUGUGUGUGACUGGGUAACUUUUCUGUACAGUAGAAAAUUGACAGAACACUCUAAACCAACUAUAAUAGAAAAAAUAAAAAUCAUUAUAUUUU